GAGGGUAUAGCUCAGUGGUAGGGAACAUGCUUAGCAUGCACAAGGUCCUGGGUUCAAUCCCUAGUACCACCA
This 72-nucleotide transfer RNA is filed under the name Camelus bactrianus (Bactrian camel). It matches the Rfam family "tRNA". From Rfam's summary of the family: Transfer RNA (tRNA) molecules are approximately 80 nucleotides in length. Lineage: Eukaryota; Metazoa; Chordata; Mammalia; Artiodactyla; Camelidae. The record is from Rfam by way of RNAcentral. RNAcentral also lists the same sequence under 2 other names.